GAUGAACGCUGGCGGCGUGCCUAAUACAUGCAAGUAGAACGCUGAAGGAGGAGCUUGCUCUUCUGGAUGAGUUGCGAACGGGUGAGUAACGCGUAGGUAACCUGCCUGGUAGCGGGGGAUAACUAUUGGAAACGAUAGCUAAUACCGCAUGACAACAGUUAUUGCAUGAUAACUGUUUAAAAGGGGCAACUGCUCCACUACCAGAUGGACCUGCGUUGUAUUAGCUAGUUGGUGAGGUAACGGCUCACCAAGGCGACGAUACAUAGCCGACCUGAGAGGGUGAUCGGCCACACUGGGACUGAGACACGGCCCAGACUCCUACGGGAGGCAGCAGUAGGGAAUCUUCGGCAAUGGACGGAAGUCUGACCGAGCAACGCCGCGUGAGUGAAGAAGGGUAUCGGAUCGUAAAGCUCUGUUGUAAGAGAAGAACGAGUGUGAGAGUGGAAAGUUCACACUGUGACGGUAGCUUACCAGAAAGGGACGGCUAACUACGUG
RNAcentral lists this ribosomal RNA (495 nucleotides) under uncultured bacterium. RNAcentral's name for it is "partial 16S ribosomal RNA". It matches the Rfam family "Bacterial small subunit ribosomal RNA", at positions 28 to 507 of the family's 1533-position model. The record is from RNAcentral.